CAGGCGGAAGGACGGACGGAUGGACGGACGGGUCCGAGUGCUGGCUAGAUGGACGGCGUCAUCUCUGCGGAGGAGACAGGCGGGGGCCAGGGGACCCUGAAAAUGAGACUAAGCUCCUUGGAGCCUCCACUUUAUGGGUCUGGACUUCUGCAUUCCACUCCUGCUCUGGAUACCGCCCUCAGGAAGACUUCCAGGAUUGACUGUACCCAGUCUCAGCACCCUCCUCCCAGGAGCCCUUCCAGUGGCAAGGGACUGGGGCCUGGGAACUUGCUAUACUCUGAACUGUUGCUUUCCAUACACUGCAUUUAACUUUGCUUAUACAGGGACCUGAGAUGCUGUCAAUUAGCUGAGAAUGCGGCAAACAUGGCCACUGUGACCACGAGAAGGAUUUCCUUUAAAGAUAGACUCCUCCCUCUUAAACAGGUCACAGUGUAGCUGGAGUCACAGUGCAGCUGGGGUCCCUAUUGUCACUUCUAUGUCCAGUAGCUCCAGGAGGCCUAUUUGAGGCAAAUCACUGGUGUAGGAAACACCCAUUUUCCUUCAGCCACUGUCCUUGUCCUCCCCACGUGAGUGAGGACAUCCCUGUGGCUUCUUGCAGACAAUCAGCUGCUGCCUCCUAGAGGGAUACCUCUUUCUUAGGAUGAGGUGGUGGCAACAUCAAACUUCCAAGCAAAGUUCAAUGCACAGAGGAAAUCCAUUUCUUUAUGACAAGGGAAGGAGGCACAUGUACUCACACACCGCUCGGAACUUAGAGGCUUCUGUAUAUCGACUCAGUCCCCAACUAUAUACACACAGGAAGAAUAAAGCUCAGUGAUGCGAGGCUGAA
This is a non-coding RNA of Myodes glareolus (Bank vole), 826 nucleotides long. Lineage: Eukaryota; Metazoa; Chordata; Mammalia; Rodentia; Cricetidae. The record is from RefSeq and is a predicted model, not a curated record.